AUACUUACCUGGCAGGGGAGAUACCAUGAUCAUGAAGGUGGUUUGCCCAGGGCAAGGCUUAUCCAUUACAUUCUGGAGGUGCUGACUCCUGCGAUUUCUCCACAUGUGGGAAACUCGACUACAUAAUUUGAGGUAGUAGGGGACUGUGAUCAUGCUCUUCCCGG
Echinops telfairi (small Madagascar hedgehog) is the source of this 164-nucleotide small nuclear RNA. RefSeq annotates it as U1 spliceosomal RNA. NCBI's taxonomy places the organism in Eukaryota, Metazoa, Chordata, Mammalia, Afrosoricida, Tenrecidae. The transcript has a single exon. The record is from RefSeq and is a predicted model, not a curated record.